RNAcentral lists this ribosomal RNA (323 nucleotides) under uncultured bacterium. RNAcentral describes it as "bacterial SSU rRNA". It matches the Rfam family "Bacterial small subunit ribosomal RNA", at positions 29 to 339 of the family's 1533-position model. The record is from RNAcentral.
AACGAACGCUGGCGGCGUGCCUAACACAUGCAAGUCGAGCGCGAAUGGAGCAAUCCUAGUAGAGCGGCGCACGGGUGCGUAACACGUGGGUAAUCUGCCUCGAAGAUCGGAAUAACCUGCCGAAAGGCUGGCUAAUGCCGGAUAAGCCUACGAGCUCUUCGGAGCUUGAAGGAAAAGGUGGCCUCUGUAUACAAGCUAUCACUUUGAGAUGAGCCCGCGGCCCAUCAGCUAGUUGGCGGGGUAACGGCCCACCAAGGCAACGACGGGUAGCUGGUCUGAGAGGACGAUCAGCCACACUGGAACUGAGACACGGUCCAGACUCC